This is an RNA transcript of Grus americana (Whooping crane), 7043 nucleotides long. It is a transcript of the gene named collagen type XIV alpha 1 chain, with no coding region annotated. The record is from RefSeq and is a predicted model, not a curated record. NCBI's taxonomy places the organism in Eukaryota, Metazoa, Chordata, Aves, Gruiformes, Gruidae. The transcript has 49 exons.
CAGGCAUCGCUCAUGCCUCUUUUUUUCCCCCCCUUCUUUCCACCUUCUGCUCUAUAAUUGCCCGCCUCCUUUCUCUAUCCUUUUGCCUUAUCAGAUGCGGCGCAGCGAGGGGAAGAGCGGCCAGAGGGGAGGGAAGCGGUUCUCCCGCAGCCGCCUCAACACCCACAGCCUCGCGUGAAAACGAGCGGCCGCACCCCCACCGGCUGCUCCCCCGCUGAUGCCCGCACAGACCUGCUGAUACUGUGUGUAUUGAGGAGAAGAAGAUGCUUUGUCGGUAUGAGAUACGGAGCUGUUUCUUCUUGGCUUUUUUAGCUGUCACAGCUUUCUUCAUCAGUGAUGCCCAGGGCCAAGUGUCCCCGCCAACAAGACUAAGAUAUAAUGUAGUCAGUCCUGACAGUGUACAGAUCUCUUGGAAAGCCCCCAAGGGGCAAAUCACUGGAUAUAAGCUUCUUGUCACUCCAAGUUCAGGUGGAAAAACCAAUCAAUUAAUUCUUCAAAACACUGCAACCAAAGCAAUUAUUCAAGGUCUUAUUCCAGAUCAGAACUAUGCCCUUCAGAUCAUUGCAUUCAGUGAAGACAAGGAGAGUAAGCCAGCACAAGGCCAGUUCAGAAUUAAAGAUAUAGAGAGAAGAAAAGAAACAAGUAAAUCCAAGGUGAAAGAUCCAGAAAAAACAAAUGCGAGUAAACCAGCUCCAGAAGGAAGCCUGUUUACCUGUAAAACUCCAGCAAUUGCAGAUAUUGUGAUACUGGUAGAUGGUUCUUGGAGUAUUGGCAGAUUCAAUUUCAGGCUUGUUCGACUGUUCCUGGAAAAUCUGGUUUCUGCUUUCAAUGUGGGAUCUGAGAAAACAAGAGUAGGUCUUGCACAGUACAGUGGUGAUCCCCGAAUUGAAUGGCAUUUGAAUGCUUAUAGUACAAAAGAUGCUGUGUUGGAUGCAGUCCGUAAUCUACCAUAUAAGGGAGGGAAUACAUUAACAGGUCUUGCCUUAACAUACAUUUUGGAAAACAGCUUUAAGCCUGAAGCAGGUGCAAGACCUGGAGUAUCUAAAAUUGGUAUACUGAUCACUGAUGGGAAGUCCCAAGAUGAUGUUAUCCCUCCUGCUAAAAACCUGCGAGAUGCUGGAAUUGAGCUUUUUGCUAUUGGUGUAAAGAAUGCAGAUAUAAAUGAACUCAAAGAGAUUGCCUCUGAACCUGACAGCACACACGUCUAUAACGUUGCUGACUUUAACUUCAUGCAUACGAUUGUUGAAGGUCUUACCAGAACAGUGUGCUCACGAGUAGAGGAACAGGAAAAGGAAAUCAAAGGAACAAUUGCUGCUUCACUUGGGGCUCCUUCAGAUUUGGUCACAUCCGAGGUAACAGCUAGAGGAUUCCGGGUUAGCUGGACCCAUGCACCAGGCAAAGUGGAAAAAUACAGGGUUGUGUACUAUCCCACUCGAGGAGGACAACCAGAAGAGGUUGUGGUAGAUGGAAGCUUAUCAACAGCAGUUCUAAAAAACCUGAUGUCUUUAACUGAAUACCAGAUAGCUGUAUUUGCUAUAUACUCAAAUGCUGCUAGUGAGGGCCUCCGUGGAACUGAAACUACACUUGCCUUGCCAAUGGCAUCGGAUCUGCAAUUGUACGAUGUGUCACAGAGCAGCAUGAGAGCGAAGUGGAAUGGAGUAGCGGGUGCCACAGGUUACAUGAUCCUAUAUGCUCCCCUCACGGAAGGAUUGGCAGCAGAUGAGAAAGAGAUAAAAAUUGGGGAGGCCUCAACAGAUCUUGAACUGGAUGGACUAUUGCCAAACACAGAAUAUACAGUCACAGUUUAUGCCAUGUUUGGAGAAGAAGCUAGUGAUCCUCUUACAGGACAAGAAACUACAUUGCCUCUAAGUCCACCAGCAAACUUGAAAUUUUCCGAUGUUGGACACAGUAGUGCUAAGCUAACAUGGGAUCCCGCUUCCAAAAACGUAAAUGGCUAUCGCAUCAUGUACGUUAAAACAGAUGGAACAGAAACCAAUGAGGUGGAAGUUGGUCGAGUUGCAACCCAUACUCUAAAAAGCCUGACAUCCCUUACAGAGUAUACUGUUGCUAUUUUCUCCCUGUAUGAUGAAGGACAAUCUGAACCACUUACUGGCAGCUUUACUACAAAAAGAGUUCCAGCUCCCCAGCAUUUGGAAAUUGAUGAAGCAUCAACAGAUAGUUUUAGGGUCAGCUGGAAGCCCACCUCCUCCGAUAUUGCUUUUUACAGAUUGGCGUGGAUUCCUUUGGAUGGAGGGGAAUCUGAAGAGGUUGUCAUAAAUGGAGAUACAGACAGUCAUGUUAUUGAGGGUUUAUUGCCCAACACAGAAUAUGAAGUUUCUUUGCUGGCAGUUUUUGAUGAUGAAAGUGAAAGUGAAGUUGUUGCUGUUCUUGGAGCUACAUUUGCAAGGACUACGCCAGUUCCUACAACGGUGACUACUACCAGUACUACAACUUCUAAGUCCACCACAGCAGUUUUUCGAACAGGAAUCAGGAACCUUGUUAUAGAUGAUGAAACAACCUCAAGCCUGAGGGUGAUAUGGGACAUUUCAGAUUACAAUAUUCAGCAGUUCAGAGUGACCUAUCUCACUGCGAAAGGUGACCGUGCUGAGGAAGUGGUAAGAAUGGUAAUGGUGCCUGGGAGACAAAACACUCUUCUGCUUCAACCUCUGCUGUCUGACACAGAGUACAAAGUUACCAUCACUCCCAUCUAUUCUGAUGGGGAAGGAGUCAGCAUCUCAGCACCUGGCAAAACUCUACCCUUGUCUGCUCCUAGAAAUUUACGUGUCUCAGAUGAAUGGUACAACAGAUUACGUAUCAGUUGGGAUGCCCCGCCAUCACCAACAAUGGGUUACAGAAUUGUCUACAAACCAGUCAACAUCCCUGGUCCUGCGUUGGAGACCUUUGUAGGGGAUGAUAUUAAUACCAUUCUCAUUCUAAAUCUCUUCAGUGGAACGGAGUACAGUGUUAAAGUAUUUGCUUCAUACUCAACAGGCUUCAGUGAUGCCCUAACAGGCGUAGCCAAAACCUUGUACCUGGGUGUGACAAAUUUGGAUUCCUAUCAAGUCCGCAUGACUAGCCUCUGUGCUCAGUGGCAGCUUCACAGACAUGCUACCGCAUACAGGGUAGUUAUAGAAUCGCUUGUGGAUGGUAAAAAGCAAGAGGUAAAUCUUGGUGGAGGGACACCUAGACAUUGUUUCUUUGAGCUGAUGCCUGGAACUGAAUAUAAAAUCAGCGUUCAUACACAGCUUCAGGAGAUAGAGGGCCCUGCUGUAAGCAUCAUGGAGACAACAUUACCAUUUCCAACUCAACCGCCAACAACACCUUCAACACCACCUCCACCACCUACAAUCCCUCCUGCAAAAGAAGUGUGCAAAGCAGCCAAAGCUGACCUAGCGUUCCUGGUGGAUGGGUCAUGGAGUAUUGGAGAUGACAAUUUCAAUAAAAUAAUUAGCUUUCUUUAUAGCACUGUUGGAGCUUUGGAUAAGAUUGGUCCUGAUGGAACACAGGUGGCAAUAAUUCAGUUCAGUGAUGAUCCCAGAACAGAAUUUAAAUUGAAUGCAUACAAAACAAAAGAGACACUUCUUGAAGCUAUUCAGCAAAUAGCUUACAAAGGAGGAAAUACAAAAACAGGCAGAGCCAUUAAACAUGCAAGAGAAGUCUUGUUUACUGGAGAGGCAGGCAUGAGAAGGGGCAUUCCAAAGGUUUUGGUUGUCAUUACUGACGGGCGAUCACAGGAUGAUGUGAAUAAAGUCUCCAGAGAAAUGCAACUCGAUGGUUUCAGCUUUUUUGCUAUUGGAGUAGCUGAUGCUGACUAUUCCGAGUUGGUUAAUAUUGGCAGCAAGCCCAGUGAAAGACAUGUCUUCUUUGUGGAUGACUUUGAUGCCUUUACGAAGAUUGAAGAUGAGCUGAUCACUUUUGUUUGUGAAACUGCAUCAGCAACCUGCCCAUUGGUAGUUAAAGAUGGCAACAAUUUUGCAGGAUUUAAAAUGAUGGAAAUGUUUGGUUUGGUUGAAAAGGAGUUUUCAGCUGUGGAAGGAGUUUCAAUGGAACCUGGUACAUUUAAUGUUUACCCAUGUUACAGACUGCACAAGGAUGCUCUGGUAUCCCAGCCUACCAAGUAUUUGCAUCCUGAAGGUCUCCCUUCUGAUUACACCAUUACGUUUCUCUUUCGUAUACUGCCCGACACACCUCAGGAGCCAUUUGCUCUUUGGGAGAUUUUAAAUGAAGGAUAUGAACCACUGGUUGGAGUUAUUUUAGAUAAUGGUGGUAAAACUCUGACCUUCUUUAACUACGACUACAAAGGAGAUUUUCAAACUGUGACUUUCGAAGGUCCUGAAAUAAGGAAGAUAUUUUAUGGGAGUUUCCAUAAGUUGCAUGUUGUUAUCAGCAAGACUACGGCCAAAAUAAUUAUUGACUGCAAGCAAGUGAGUGAGAAGACCAUUAACGCAGCAGGGAAUAUUAGUUCUGAUGGCAUAGAAGUGCUGGGGAGAAUGGUCAGAUCCAGAGGACCAAGAGACAACUCUGUGCCAUUGCAGUUACAGAUGUUUGACAUUGUUUGUGCUACCUCAUGGGCCAAUCGAGACAAAUGUUGUGAGCUUCCUGGCUUGAGAGAUGAGGAAAAUUGCCCUGCCCUUCCUCAUGCUUGUUCCUGUUCAGAAGCUAAUAAGGGUCCCCUUGGGCCUCCUGGACCACCGGGUGGUCCAGGUGUCAGAGGUGCCAAAGGUCAUCGUGGCGAUCCAGGUCCAAAGGGACCAGAUGGACCUCGAGGUGAAAUUGGUGUUCCUGGACCACAAGGACCUCCAGGACCACAAGGACCCAGUGGACUUUCUAUUCAAGGGCUUCCAGGGCCACCAGGUGAAAAGGGAGAGAAGGGAGAUCUUGGUUUUCCUGGCCUGCAGGGUGUCCCAGGAGCAUCAGGUUCACCUGGAAGAGAUGGAGCUCAAGGUCAAAGGGGUCUUCCUGGCAAAGAUGGACCCACAGGCCCACAAGGACCUCCUGGCCCAAUGGGCAUACCUGGUACUCCAGGUGUUCCAGGUGUCACUGGAAGCCAGGGGCCGCAAGGUGAUGUUGGAGCUCCUGGUCCUCCUGGAGCUAAGGGCGAAAGGGGUGAGCGGGGUGAUCUCCAGUCCCAAGCGAUGGUGCGUGCUGUUGCUCGGCAAGUGUGUGAACAACUCAUCCAGGGUCAUAUGGCAAGAUACAACUCAAUUCUGAACCAGAUUCCAAGCCAGUCUGUCUCAACACGGACCAUCGCAGGACCUCCUGGUGAGCCAGGUCGGCCAGGGGCUCCAGGGCCACAGGGAGAACAAGGAUCACCAGGCAUGCAAGGGUUUCCAGGAAGUCCUGGUCAACCGGGAAGACCAGGAGAAAGAGGUUUACCAGGCGAGAAAGGAGAAAAAGGCAAUCCAGGUGUUGGAACACAAGGACCCCGAGGCCCACCAGGAUCUACAGGACCUCCAGGAGAAAGUCGAACUGGCAGCCCCGGACCACCAGGUUCUCCAGGCCCACGAGGUCCCGCCGGUCAUAUGGGGCCCCCAGGCUCGCAGGGUCCUUCUGGCCCACCAGGCUACUGUGAUCCGUCCUCCUGCGCUGGUUACGGCAUGGGAGGCCCAAUCCCUUACAAUGGCUACCGAUCCAGAAGGUGAAAGGCUCACUCUGGUUCAGGUCUCAUUUGGCUGAAGGUCAGAGGUGGAUGCUGAACUGUUCUGUGCUUUCCAUCAACGAUAUUGACUACCACUAAUGAACUUACUAGCUGCUGUACAUGCACUUUGCUUCCUUGCACUGCUAAAAAUUAUUGCCUGACCCAUUUUUUGCCUUUUAAUCAUGUAUUCUAGCCCAUAAUUGGAAUAAGCUAAAGCAGGCAGGUUGUGCAGUGUAUAACGAGUGCAGUAUUACAACUGGACGUUUGACAAAUCCCGGUGGUGGUUUCCAACUAACUUGGCUGUCUGUUGGUGGGUUUCCAAUUGCUCCAGCUUAUUAAUUUUGUUGAAUGUUUUCACUGUUCCUUUCUGUGAAUAAAAGAUGUGUAUUUAAAGAUUAUAUAUCUCCUCACACACAUUAUAUAUAAAUAUAUCUCUAUAUAAAAUGUCAAUUUCCUAAUGAUUGCUUUAAUUUUCUACUCCCCUUCUCCUGUGUUAACCGUAUGAAUGCUCUUGGUGGUGGUGGGUUAAGGUGGAUACGGUGAGCCAACUGAUCAAGACAUCCCAGUAGUGCAGUUGCCACAUAACUCCUACCAAAUCUAUGACCCCGAGGACCUUUAUGAUGAGUUUACUCCCGUUUGAGAAGAGAUGGAAGCUCUUGAACUGAGAUCCCCGGGAAUUAGUCGCUUCACCAGGAAGAUAGCCAAAAGGAGCGUCCAGACUCCAGCGCGCAAAAGGGUGAAUGGGAAAAAACCCUCUCAAUGAACUGUUUAAAAAAAGGGAAACGUUUUACGUGCAUCUGUGUGUGGCCUUUUGUCCAGGUGCCUAACCUGUCACGGAAGAGGUUUACAGGCUCUUGAAUUCAAGGAGGGAGAAAGAAAAAAGGACGUGCUCAGUUGACACAAGAAGUAAUGGUAAUUAUCUUGCAUGCCAGAACCUUAGUAUGUUAGUGGGUUGGUGCUAGAUGAAGAUGAAAGGUCACCUGUAGAUCUUUCUCUGGAGUACUGUUCCAUACGCUAUUCAAACUGUAUCUAAAAAACUGCAUCUGGCUACUUGGUGUUUGUAGAACCAUUCAGAAAAGUUAAUGUUCUUUUUUAUCCGUGUUUUUCCAGUUGAUUGUUCUGUUAGUUUUGGAUGAAUUGUUUUACUAGCAGAGUAACCCUGCUAAAUUCACUGGAGAACAAUGCAUAAUCAGGCUUCCUUGAACCCAGCUAUUACUUUUGCAAAGAAAUCUUGUGUUAAUGGAAUAUUUUUUUUUUUUAACCCACAUUAUAUAAAUACACAUGAAUGUUCCAUGGGAGCACACUGGUAAUUUAUUGUGAACCUCUUUCAUUUCUGUUUUGUAUGCAAAUAAAAGUGGCAAGCUUUUUAUACGUUAAUUCUGUAUUUGAUUGAUUUUUAACUUGG